Molecule: ribosomal RNA, 953 nt
Filed under: Salmonella enterica
Lineage: Bacteria; Pseudomonadati; Pseudomonadota; Gammaproteobacteria; Enterobacterales; Enterobacteriaceae
Description: partial 23S ribosomal RNA
Rfam family: Bacterial large subunit ribosomal RNA
Source: RNAcentral
AUUCUGUAGCAAGGUUAACCGUAUAGGGGAGCCGCAGGGAAACCGAGUCUUAACCGGGCGUUAAGUUGCAGGGUAUAGACCCGAAACCCGGUGAUCUAGCCAUGGGCAGGUUGAAGGUUGGGUAACACUAACUGGAGGACCGAACCGACUAAUGUUGAAAAAUUAGCGGAUGACCUGUGGCUGGGGGUGAAAGGCCAAUCAAACCGGGAGAUAGCUGGUUCUCCCCGAAAGCUAUUUAGGUAGCGCCUCGUGAAUUCAUCUCCGGGGGUAGAGCACUGUUUCGGCUAGGGGGCCAUCCCGGCUUACCAACCCGAUGCAAACUGCGAAUACCGGAGAAUGUUAUCACGGGAGACACACGGCGGGUGCUAACGUCCGUCGUGAAGAGGGAAACAACCCAGACCGCCAGCUAAGGUCCCAAAGUCAUGGUUAAGUGGGAAACGAUGUGGGAAGGCCCAGACAGCCAGGAUGUUGGCUUAGAAGCAGCCAUCAUUUAAAGAAAGCGUAAUAGCUCACUGGUCGAGUCGGCCUGCGCGGAAGAUGUAACGGGGCUAAACCAUGCACCGAAGCUGCGGCAGCGACACUCAGGUGUUGUUGGGUAGGGGAGCGUUCUGUAAGCCUGUGAAGGUGGCCUGUGAGGGUUGCUGGAGGUAUCAGAAGUGCGAAUGCUGACAUAAGUAACGAUAAAGCGGGUGAAAAGCCCGCUCGCCGGAAGACCAAGGGUUCCUGUCCAACGUUAAUCGGGGCAGGGUGAGUCGACCCCUAAGGCGAGGCCGAAAGGCGUAGUCGAUGGGAAACGGGUUAAUAUUCCCGUACUUGGUGUUACUGCGAAGGGGGGACGGAGAAGGCUAUGUUGGCCGGGCGACGGUUGUCCCGGUUUAAGCGUGUAGGUGUGUGUUCCAGGUAAAUCCGGUUCACUUUAACACUGAGGCGUGACGACGAGGCACUACGGUGCU